AUUGAACGCUGGCGGCAGGCCUAACACAUGCAAGUCGAGCGGAUGAAGGGAGCUUGCUCCUGGAUUCAGCGGCGGACGGGUGAGUAAUGCCUAGGAAUCUGCCUGGUAGUGGGGGAUAACGUCCGGAAACGGGCGCUAAUACCGCAUACGUCCUGAGGGAGAAAGUGGGGGAUCUUCGGACCUCACGCUAUCAGAUGAGCCUAGGUCGGAUUAGCUAGUUGGUGGGGUAACGGCCUACCAAGGCGACGAUCCGUAACUGGUCUGAGAGGAUGAUCAGGCACCCUGGAAGUGAGACACGGUCCAGACUCCUACGGGAGGCAGCAGUGGGGAAUAUUGGACAAUGGGCGAAAGCCUGAUCCAGCCAUGCCGCGUGUGUGAAGAAGGUCUUCGGAUUGGAAAGCACUUUAAGUUGGGAGGAAGGGCAGUAAGUUAAUACCUUGCUGUUUUGACGUUACCAACAGAAUAAGCACCGGCUAACUUCGUG
RNAcentral lists this ribosomal RNA (484 nucleotides) under uncultured bacterium. RNAcentral describes it as "partial 16S ribosomal RNA". It matches the Rfam family "Bacterial small subunit ribosomal RNA", at positions 30 to 507 of the family's 1533-position model. The record is from RNAcentral.